Molecule: ribosomal RNA, 499 nt
Filed under: uncultured bacterium
Lineage: Bacteria
Description: bacterial SSU rRNA
Rfam family: Bacterial small subunit ribosomal RNA
Source: RNAcentral
UUCGCCCUUGGAUCCAGACUUUGAUUAUGGCUCAGGCCGUUCGCUGGCGGCGUGCCUAACACAUGCGAGUCGAGCGGAACUGUUUUGAAAGAUUUCUUCGGAAUGAAUUUGAUUUAGUUUAGUGGCGGACGGGUGAGUAACGCGUGAGUAACCUGCCUUCAAGAGGGGGAUAACAUUCUGAAAAGAAUGCUAAUACCGCAUGACAUAUCGGAACCACAUGGUUCUGAUAUCAAAGAUUUUAUCACUUGAAGAUGGACUCGCGUCCGAUUAGUUAGUUGGUGAGGUAACGGCUCACCAAGACCGCGAUCGGUAGCCGGACUGAGAGGUUGAACGGCCACAUUGGGACUGAGACACGGCCCAGACUCCUACGGGAGGCAGCAGUGGGGGAUAUUGCGCAAUGGGGGCAACCCUGACGCAGCAACGCCGCGUGAAGGAUGAAGGUUUUCGGAUUGUAAACUUCUUUUAUUAAGGACGAAACUUGACGGUACUUAAUGAAUAA